Molecule: non-coding RNA, 27 nt
Filed under: Cricetulus griseus (Chinese hamster)
Lineage: Eukaryota; Metazoa; Chordata; Mammalia; Rodentia; Cricetidae
Source: RNAcentral
UUGUAUUAAAGGGCUGCAGCAUUAGGA